AUGUGAUCGUCUCUCGCAUAUCAAUAAGCGGAGGAAAAGAAACUAACAAGGAUUCCCCUAGUAACGGCGAGUGAAGCGGGAAGAGUUCAAAUUUGAAAUCUUAAAGGGUUUCCCUUUACGAAUUGUAGUUUAAAGAAGUGUUUUCUGUUGAGGUUUUGGUAAAAGUUCUUUGGAAUAGGACAUCAUAGAGGGUGAGAAUCCCGUAUUUGACCUUUACUUUCAACUUUGUGAUACACUUUCAAAGAGUCGGAUUGUUUGGGAAUGCAGUCCAAAAUGGGUGGUAAAUUUCAUCUAAAGCUAAAUAUUGGCGAGAGACCGAUAGCGAACAAGUACCGUGAGGGAAAGAUGAAAAGAACUUUGAAAAGAGAGUUAAACAGUACGUGAAAUUGUCAAAAGGGAAGCGUUUGACACCAGUGUUGUUUUUCUGAAAAUCAAUUAAAGAACUGUUUAUGCUAAGUUGUUUAGACUUUAUCAGCUAACUGUUUAGUUUGAGCUUUUCUUUAAGGCACUUUUCAGUUAACAAGUCAACAUCAAUUUCUUUUGCUGUAAAAAAGCUUGAGGAAGGUGGCUUGAGAUUCGUCUUAAGUGUUUAUAGCCUCUUGCCUAUGCAGUCGGAGAGAUUGAGGUCUGCAGCGUAGAUCCUUCGGGGCUAAAUGCAUUUGUGCUAAGUUAUAACAUUUUAUAGACAACUUGUUGACUAUGAUUUGUCUUGUAGCUUACUCGCUUAUGUUAUUUUACCUACGCUUAGGAUGUUGACACACGCGCGUGCUCG
Molecule: ribosomal RNA, 772 nt
Filed under: uncultured Neocallimastigales
Lineage: Eukaryota; Fungi; Neocallimastigomycota; Neocallimastigomycetes; Neocallimastigales
Description: partial large subunit ribosomal RNA
Rfam family: Eukaryotic large subunit ribosomal RNA
Source: RNAcentral